UGCCAGCCGCCGCGGUAAUACGUAGGGUGCGAGCGUUGAUCGGAAUUACUGGGCGUAAAGCGUGCGCAGGCGGUUUGCUAAGACAGUUGUGAAAUCCCCGGGCUCAGCCUGGGAACUGCAAUUGUGACUGGUAGACUAGAGUUUGGCAGAGGGGGGUGGAAUUCCUGGUGUAGCAGUGAAAUGCGUAGAUAUCAGGAGGAGCACCGAUGGCGAAGGCAGCCCCCUGGGCCACGACUGACGCUCAUGUACGAAAGCGCGGGGAGCAAACAGGAUUAGAUA
Molecule: ribosomal RNA, 279 nt
Filed under: uncultured bacterium
Lineage: Bacteria
Description: partial 16S ribosomal RNA
Rfam family: Bacterial small subunit ribosomal RNA
Source: RNAcentral